CUUCCCACUAGGCGCGUGGUACCCGAGGCCGGGCCGGAGCCGCAGGCCAGCCGCGAUUCCUUCGGGCGAUGCUGGGGGCUUUCCGGUCGGGGCCGCAGCCGCUUCCGGAGCCGCGGGCGAGUCGAUUCACCAUGAUCUUGGCUGGCUGUCUUCUUCCUUCAUGGCUGCUAGUAAUGACAAUUCAGUGGCUGUUUCUUCAGCUGUGCAAAGUUGGAACAUGUUUGGGAGUUCAACGGCAUUGGUUUCUGGUUGGUGCAAGCGGUCUUCUCUGUCUUCUUUAUGGCCAGUAAAAUUCUCCAGAAGAGAUUUAUGGCAGCCUCACUCCCAGUAGUUUCUGCAUUUAGUGAGAUAAGGAAUGGAUUUUCUUCUGUGUAUUGCUGACACGAACAGGAGACGGAAAUACUGAGUAGAAGAGGGCGGUUCCCUGGCUAAGGCCCCACCCUCAAGCCUGGAUACCCGCGGCCCUAAAUGAGAAGAGGCGUUUCUGUUUGGGGCCCAAAAAGUUGCUUUUUGACCCACCACGCCCCCUAUCCUGCCCCCAUAUAAACCCCAAACCCCAACCUCCAGAGCAUACCAGCAGGUGAGGAGAUACGAGGCAAGCCGACUGAC
RNAcentral lists this long non-coding RNA (609 nucleotides) under Homo sapiens (human). RNAcentral's name for it is "SLC12A2 divergent transcript". Lineage: Eukaryota; Metazoa; Chordata; Mammalia; Primates; Hominidae. The record is from RNAcentral.